GACGAACGCUGGCGGCGUGCUUAACACAUGCAAGUCGAACGGAAAGGCCCUGCUUUUGUGGGGUGCUCGAGUGGCGAACGGGUGAGUAACACGUGAGUAACCUGCCCUUGACUUUGGGAUAACUUCAGGAAACUGGGGCUAAUACCGGAUAGGAGCUCCUGCUGCAUGGUGGGGGUUGGAAAGUUUCGGCGGUUGGGGAUGGACUCGCGGCUUAUCAGCUUGUUGGUGGGGUAGUGGCUUACCAAGGCUUUGACGGGUAGCCGGCCUGAGAGGGUGACCGGCCACAUUGGGACUGAGAUACGGCCCAGACUCCUACGGGAGGCAGCAGUAGGGAAUAUUGCACGAUGGGCGGAAGCCUGAUGCAGCAACGCCGCGUGCGGGAUGACGGCCUGCGGGUUGUAGACCGCUUUCGCCUGUGACGAAGCGUGAGUGACGGUAAUGGGUAAAGAAGCACCGGCUAACUACGUG
This 468-nucleotide ribosomal RNA is filed under the name uncultured bacterium. RNAcentral describes it as "partial 16S ribosomal RNA". It matches the Rfam family "Bacterial small subunit ribosomal RNA", at positions 28 to 507 of the family's 1533-position model. The record is from RNAcentral.